AUUUAGUCAGUCCAAAAACCUAUACAGCAACCCAUCGUUCCAAUAACCUUUUCACUCUAAGAUUUUCAAUUUAGCUCAGGCCAUUCCCAAAUAUCCUUGACCCGGAACACUCCAAAGCACAGAAACCCAACUGUUCCUUACUCUUCUUCACAUUAACAAAAUCUCCCAUAACGACAACAACGACCAACGACGAUCUAUCAAAAUACACGGAAAGCAGCAAAAGACAUAAGUCAGUCCUUUGUCGUCUUUGGCCUGUCCAUUCGCAGUAGCAAAAAGCAGAUAAAGAAGUUGUGAUUCCGUCCUUGUGUCUUUGAGAUGGAUCCACGUCUCUCCCCAUGGACAGUGAAUCCAUCCGAUCCAUCAAUUCGCCCUUUCCUCUUCCGGAAUGAGUCCGGGUUUUGGAUCCAAAUUUGCCCCACCUUUCAAAAGAAAUUGUGACAUAAUUCUUCCUCCAUAUGUAUAUCCUUUUCUCAUUUCUUUGUAAGGGACGACAGAUUAUGGUGGGAGAAAAAAUUAGUAAGAGAUAAAUUAUUAGUUCAUUUCGUUCUUAGAUCGAUAUCUCUGUCCAAACUUCCGAUUUGCUGUCUGUCUUUGAUACUUGGCAUGGUGGAGGCGUCGUCUUCUGUUCAUCAUACUGUUCGCUGCUCCAAAGAAGGUGCAGGCACUGGUGGACGCUAGAGCUUACGGUACAACAUUACAGUUAUCCAAACGUGGAGCUUAUAUCCGGACUUGGUAGGCCCUCAUGCUAUCGAGGAUGUCUACCGUUAUUAUCUAGCUUAGAUGUAGGCUUUAGCUAGUGGAGCAUGUUUCACUAGUGUUUCAUUUCCCAUUUCAUUUCAGACUUUUUAUUGGUGUCGUUUUGGCAAGGACACAUUUAAUGCAAUUAUGAACUGCUUCUUUCAUUUGAUUAUCACAAUAUUAGAUAGUUGAUUUG
Molecule: long non-coding RNA, 934 nt
Organism: Solanum lycopersicum (tomato)
Lineage: Eukaryota; Viridiplantae; Streptophyta; Magnoliopsida; Solanales; Solanaceae
Source: RefSeq, a predicted model, not a curated record